GUAGGUGGCAAGCGUUGUCCGGAAUUAUUGGGCGUAAAGCGCGCGCAGGCGGUUCUUUAAGUCUGAUGUGAAAGCCCACGGCUCAACCGUGGAGGGUCAUUGGAAACUGGAGAACUUGAGUACAGAAGAGGAAAGCGGAAUUCCACGUGUAGCGGUGAAAUGCGUAGAGAUGUGGAGGAACACCAGUGGCGAAGGCGGCUUUCUAGUCUGUAACUGACGCUGAGGCGCGAAAGCGUGGGGAGCAAACAGGGAUUAGAUACCCUGGUAGUCCACGCCGUAAACGAUGAGUGCUAAGUGUUAGGGGGUUUCCGCCCCCUUAGUGCUGCAGCUAACGCAUUAAGCACUCCGCCUGGGGAGUACGGCCGCAAGGCUG
Molecule: ribosomal RNA, 373 nt
Filed under: uncultured organism
Description: partial 16S ribosomal RNA
Rfam family: Bacterial small subunit ribosomal RNA
Source: RNAcentral